UACGGAGGGUGCGAGCGUUGUCCGGAAUCACUGGGCGUAAAGGGCGCGUAGGUGGCGGCCCAAGUCAACGGUGAAAGCUCGGCGCUCAACGCCGAGUCGGCCGUCGAUACUGGGUUGCUCGAGCACUGUAGAGGCAGAUGGAAUUCCGGGUGUAGCGGUGGAAUGCGUAGAGAUCCGGAAGAACACCGGUGGCGAAGGCGGUCUGCUGGGCAGUAGCUGACACUGAGGCGCGACAGCGUGGGGAGCAAACAGG
RNAcentral lists this ribosomal RNA (253 nucleotides) under Gemmatimonas sp. Its description in RNAcentral is "partial 16S ribosomal RNA". It matches the Rfam family "Bacterial small subunit ribosomal RNA", at positions 524 to 776 of the family's 1533-position model. The record is from RNAcentral. Lineage: Bacteria; Pseudomonadati; Gemmatimonadota; Gemmatimonadia; Gemmatimonadales; Gemmatimonadaceae.